UCACCUGAUUCUGCAGAUGGCUCCAGGUUUUCAUCAGUUGCUCCUGAUGGUCUUGGCUGGCUCACUUCACUCUGUUCUGUUUCAUAGGCACUACCAUCUAAAACAUUAAUUUCUGUAUGUUCAUCAUCCUCAGUUAUUCCCUCCAUUGAGAUUGCUUCUGCUGCCAGAACAGGAACAUUCCCUUGAUCAUUCUUCCUCUCAAUUUGAUCCUCAUAAUUAGCAGCAGCACCAAAAUGAUCAGACCCCCUAUAAUUCCUCUUCAAAAAUCUCCUCAUUCUUGAAGAACUUUCCAUAAAGUCUAGCUUCCAAAAGA
This 313-nucleotide unclassified non-coding RNA is filed under the name Hevea brasiliensis (rubber tree). Lineage: Eukaryota; Viridiplantae; Streptophyta; Magnoliopsida; Malpighiales; Euphorbiaceae. The record is from RNAcentral.